Molecule: ribosomal RNA, 540 nt
Filed under: Campylobacter jejuni
Lineage: Bacteria; Pseudomonadati; Campylobacterota; Epsilonproteobacteria; Campylobacterales; Campylobacteraceae
Description: partial 23S ribosomal RNA
Rfam family: Bacterial large subunit ribosomal RNA
Source: RNAcentral
AAAGGUAAGCUACUAAGAGCGAAUGGUGGAUGCCUUGACUGGUAAAGGCGAUGAAGGACGUACUAGACUGCGAUAAGCUACGGGGAGCUGUCAAGAAGCUUUGAUCCGUAGAUUUCCGAAUGGGGCAACCCAAUGUAUAGAGAUAUACAUUGCCUAUAUAGGAGCGAACGAGGGGAAUUGAAACAUCUUAGUACCCUCAGGAAAAGAAAUCAAUAGAGAUUGCGUCAGUAGCGGCGAGCGAAAGCGCAAGAGGGCAAACCCAGUGCUUGCACUGGGGGUUGUAGGACUGCAAUGUGCAAGAGGUAAGUUUAGCAGAACAUUCUGGAAAGUAUAACCAUAGAGGGUGAUAGUCCCGUAUGCGAAAAACAAACCUUAGCUAGCAGUAUCCUGAGUAGGGCGGGACACGAGGAAUCCUGUCUGAAUCCGGGUCGACCACGAUCCAACCCUAAAUACUAAUACCAGAUCGAUAGUGCACAAGUACCGUGAGGGAAAGGUGAAAAGAACUGAGGUGAUCAGAGUGAAAUAGAACCUGAAACCAUU